AGCAGCCGCGGUAAUUCCAGCUCCAAUAGCGUAUAUUAAAGUUGUUGCAGUUAAAAAGCUCGUAGUUGAAUUUCGGGAUUAGUACGUUGGUCGUGCCUUCGGUACGUACUGGUGUUACUGGUUCCUACCUUCUGACGAACCAUCAUGCCAUUAAUUUGGUGUGGCGGGGAAUCAGGACUAUUACUUUGAAAAAAUUAGAGUGUUUAAAGCAGGCUCGCGCUUGAAUACAUUAGCAUGGAAUAAUGAAAUAGGACGUUUGAUCCUAUUUCGUUGGUUUCUAGGAUCGACGUAAUGAUUAAUAGGGAUAGUUGGGGGCAUUAGUAUUCAAUUGUCAGAGGUGAAAUUCUUGGAUUUAUUGAAGACUAACUACUGCGAAAGCAUUUGCCAAGGAUGUUUUCAUUAAUCAAGAACGAAAGUUAGGGGAUCGAAGACGAUCAGAUACCGUCGUAGUCUUAACCAUAAACUAUGCCGACUAGGGAUCGGAUGAUGUUAAUUUUUUAAUGACUCA
RNAcentral lists this ribosomal RNA (508 nucleotides) under uncultured fungus. RNAcentral's name for it is "SSU rRNA". It matches the Rfam family "Eukaryotic small subunit ribosomal RNA", at positions 569 to 1078 of the family's 1831-position model. The record is from RNAcentral. Lineage: Eukaryota; Fungi.